CAUGCUUGAGACACCAGCUCUGGCUUUGCCUUUCUACAGAAACACUGAGCACUCGACGCCCAGGGAGCCCGUUUCCCGCGGCGACAGGGAUACAUCGCAGCUGUUUCCAUGGCAACAGAAUUGGUGUUUGGUAGUACUGAUCCAAUUUUUUUAUCCAAAAGAGCAGAGUGGACAUUGUGCCUCCUUUUGUGUUCUGUGGAGGAAAUAAAGUCAUACACGUUUGAAACUAAACCAGAGCAAAGCUGAGGGUGCUGCAGCAUCAGUAAUGGCAAAUGGAGGGGAGAAGCUACCAGAGAGCCGCGAAUAAGACCCCAGUCAUGUCUGAAAACUCCCAGGAAAUCCAUCAGCCGGCAGACCCCUGGGGCACACAGGCAGACAUGGCACUGAUCUCAGAACAGUAUGUGGUACUCCCUGGAGAGCUACUAGUGUGGGAGGGCUUUUCACCUAUCAAUGAACACCCCCACCCCAUCAGCCCACACUAGCAGUCAUAUCUCAUGUGCUGUAAUUCCCAGAAGCACUGCGGUAGGCAACAUGGAGCUGCAGAGCAGGGCUGUGAAAUUCCAAUGAGGGUCUGAAAUGUGAGGUCCAGGGAUCUGGACAGUAAUUUUUUUGUUCUAGACAUACUGACAUUAUUGUAGUAUCUAUGCUAUUGUGAUGUUAAAGCUGAAUUUUCAGCAUCAUUACUCAGUCUUCAGUGUCACACGAUCCUUCAGAAAUCAGUCUAAUAUGCUGAUUUUCUGCAAGAAAAUUUUCUUGUUUUUAUCAUCAGUGUUGAAAACAAGUCAUUUCUUCCCAAUAUGCAUUCAAAUGAUCGUUUCUUGUGAUUGAAAAUAAACACAAUGACAAAUACAUAAAAUCAGGAUAUCAUUUUUUUUUUUGUUCAGCAAAACUGCCUGGCUCUACUGGAAGAAUCUCAGCUAAUCUAUCUGUCUAUGCAGGGGGGAAUACAGCACUACUGGAGAACAGUAUGUGAAAUAGCUGAGAGCCCUAGAGGUCUGGCACCAUGUUUCUACAGAACAACACAAAUUAGUUUUAGCGCACGCAAGCAACUUCUGUACCUCCACCCCAGUCUCAUAGGCAGAUCCAUCAAGCAGUGUGACUUUCACAGGUGCAGUCUUUGGUCUUUUGGAGGAU
Carassius gibelio (silver crucian carp) is the source of this 1134-nucleotide long non-coding RNA. RefSeq lists it as uncharacterized. Lineage: Eukaryota; Metazoa; Chordata; Actinopteri; Cypriniformes; Cyprinidae. The record is from RefSeq and is a predicted model, not a curated record. The transcript is spliced from 3 exons.